This 255-nucleotide ribosomal RNA is filed under the name uncultured bacterium. Its description in RNAcentral is "partial 16S ribosomal RNA". It matches the Rfam family "Bacterial small subunit ribosomal RNA", at positions 524 to 776 of the family's 1533-position model. The record is from RNAcentral.
UACGGGGGGGAGCAAGCGUUGUUCGGAUUUACUGGGCGUAAAGGGCGCGUAGGCGGCCAGCACAAGUCAGUUGUGAAAUCUCCGAGCUUAACUCGGAAAGGUCAACUGAUACUGUGCGGCUAGAGUGCGGAAGGGGCAACUGGAAUUCUUGGUGUAGCGGUGAAAUGCGUAGAUAUCAAGAGGAACACCUGCGGCGAAGGCGGGUUGCUGGGCCGAUACUGACGCUGAGGAGCGAAAGCGUGGGGAGCGAACAGG